CCUACGGGAGGCAGCAGUGAGGAAUAUUGGUCAAUGGACGCAAGUCUGAACCAGCCAUGCCGCGUGCAGGAUGACGGCUCUAUGAGUUGUAAACUGCUUUUGUACGAGGGUAAACCCCGAUACGUGUAUCGGGUUGAAAGUAUCGUACGAAUAAGGAUCGGCUAACUCCGUGCCAGCAGCCGCGGUAAUACGGAGGAUCCGAGCGUUAUCCGGAUUUAUUGGGUUUAAAGGGUGCGUAGGCGGUUUGAUAAGUUAGAGGUGAAAUGUCGGGGCUCAACCCCGAAACUGCCUCUAAUACUGUCGGACUAGAGAAUAGUUGCGGUAGGCGGAAUGUAUGGUGUAGCGGUGAAAUGCUUAGAGAUCAUACAGAACACCGAUUGCGAAGGCAGCUUACCAAACUAUAUCUGACGUUGAGGCACGAAAGCGUGGGUAGCAAACAGGAUUGGAUACCCUUGUAGUC
RNAcentral lists this ribosomal RNA (460 nucleotides) under uncultured bacterium. Its description in RNAcentral is "partial 16S ribosomal RNA". It matches the Rfam family "Bacterial small subunit ribosomal RNA", at positions 338 to 795 of the family's 1533-position model. The record is from RNAcentral.